GCACACAAUAUAAAAGGAUAGAAACAAGAUGUGCUUCUUUGGAUUUGUGAUACAUGACAACUACCAAAUUCCAUCAAAAAAGCUAAAAGCUAAAACCCCAAAAAGCCUAUAAGCAUAUAGAGAAAUGCUCAAUUGCUCAUAUAGAUCCCCAGCAACCGCCUAGUGCUCAUAGGGCUCCACCUCUUCCUCACAUUCCGACCAAUGAUCCUUGCACGCGAGAAUCUCUUAUUUAUUUAUUUAUUUAUU
Molecule: unclassified non-coding RNA, 246 nt
Filed under: Hevea brasiliensis (rubber tree)
Lineage: Eukaryota; Viridiplantae; Streptophyta; Magnoliopsida; Malpighiales; Euphorbiaceae
Source: RNAcentral